GUCUUUUUGAAUUAAAUUUAAAGUCUAAUCUGCCCACUGAUAACAUAAAUUAAAUGGCCGCAGUAUUUUAACUGUGCAAAGGUAGCAUAAUCAUUAGUCUUUUAAUUGAGGGCUGGAAUGAAUGAUUGGACGAGAUAUAAUCUGUCUCAUUGAAAAUUGUUUAUAGAAUUUUAUUUUUUAGUUAAAAAGCUAAAAUUUUUUUAAAAGACGAGAAGACCCUAUAGAUCUUUAUAUUAAUUAUAUAAUUUGUUUUUUAGAUAAUUUAAAUAAUUAUGUUUAUUAGUAUUUUGUUGGGGUGACAUUGAAAUUUAAUAAACUUUCAGUAAGAAUUGAACAUUUAUAGAUGGGUUUUAUUUGAUCCUAUAUUAUAGAUAUAAAAAUUAAGUUACCUUAGGGAUAACAGCGUAAUUAUUUCGGAGAGUUCAUAUUGAUGAAAUAGAUUGCGACCUCGAUGUUGGAUUAAGAUUAAUAAUAGGGGCAGUUUCUUAUUAUAUUAAGUCUGUUCGACUUUUAAAUUCUU
Molecule: ribosomal RNA, 520 nt
Filed under: Argyra ilonae
Lineage: Eukaryota; Metazoa; Arthropoda; Insecta; Diptera; Dolichopodidae
Description: partial 16S ribosomal RNA
Rfam family: Bacterial large subunit ribosomal RNA
Source: RNAcentral